RNAcentral lists this ribosomal RNA (274 nucleotides) under uncultured bacterium. Its description in RNAcentral is "partial 16S ribosomal RNA". It matches the Rfam family "Bacterial small subunit ribosomal RNA", at positions 523 to 796 of the family's 1533-position model. The record is from RNAcentral.
AUACGAAGGGGGCUAGCGUUGUUCGGAAUUACUGGGCGUAAAGCGCACGUAGGCGGAUUGAUAAGUUAGGGGUGAAAUCCCGAGGCUCAACCUCGGAACUGCCUUUAAUACUGUUAGUCUCGAGUCCGGAAGAGGUGAGUGGAAUUCCUAGUGUAGAGGUGGAAUUCGUAGAUAUUAGGAAGAACACCAGUGGCGAAGGCGGCUCACUGGUCCGGUACUGACGCUGAGGUGCGAAAGCGUGGGGAGCAAACAGGAUUAGAAACCCGAGUAGUCC